RNAcentral lists this ribosomal RNA (492 nucleotides) under uncultured bacterium. Its description in RNAcentral is "partial 16S ribosomal RNA". It matches the Rfam family "Bacterial small subunit ribosomal RNA", at positions 29 to 507 of the family's 1533-position model. The record is from RNAcentral.
AGUGAACGCCGGCGGUAGGCCUAACACAUGCAAGUCGAACGGCAGCACAGUAAGAGCUUGCUCUUACGGGUGGCGAGUGGCGGACGGGUGAGGAAUACAUCGGACUCUACUUUUUCGUGGGGGAUAACGUAGGGAAACUUACGCUAAUACCGCAUACGACCUACGGGUGAAAGCAGGGGAUCUUCGGACCUUGCGCGAUUGAAUGAGCCGAUGUCGGAUUAGCUAGUUGGCGGGGUAAAGGCCCACCAAGGCGACGAUCCGUAGCUGGUCUGAGAGGAUGAUCAGCCACACUGGAACUGAGACACGGUCCAGACUCCUACGGGAGGCAGCAGUGGGGAAUAUUGGACAAUGGGCGCAAGCCUGAUCCAGCCAUACCGCGUGGGUGAAGAAGGCCUUCGGGUUGUAAAGCCCUUUUGUUGGGAAAGAAAAGCAGCAGGUUAAUACCCCGCUGUUCUGACGGUACCCAAAGAAUAAGCACCGGCUAACUUCGUG